This 908-nucleotide long non-coding RNA is filed under the name Nannospalax galili (Upper Galilee mountains blind mole rat). RNAcentral describes it as "lncRNA (ENSNGAG00000024621.1)". The record is from RNAcentral. Lineage: Eukaryota; Metazoa; Chordata; Mammalia; Rodentia; Spalacidae.
AUGGCUGCCAGCGGUUGUUGGAGACCUGGAAGUGGGAAAGGAUGUCCUGGGAUGCUGAAGAGUGCCCAGUCUUCUCUGAGCAUCCUUUCCUCUAACAAAGGAAUCAGUGUCCCAUUUGGGUCAGUGUCUACCGAGCCUCGGUCUCCAUCUUUGGUUUCGAGUGCCUACCCUUGUCCCUUUCUCUCCCCCAGUGUCUUGCCCCUGGUGGCUAGAACAAGCAGGAAGCAAGUAAGAAAGGAAUCCACUGCCCUCCAGAGAGAGAGAGAGAGAGGUAUAAGAGCCCUGCAUCUCCCACCCUGGAUUGUUGGGCCCAGGAAAGCCAGUAUCCUGCAGGCACUCAGUCUUUUCUUCCCAAGAUCUUGUGAUACCUGCCCCCACCCUUCCUGUUCUGUUCCCUGCCCCCUAGCCUUUUCCUCCUCCCUUACCCCCUGGGCUGACCAAAAAUGUGCUUUCUACUGUGAGCCCCGUCCCAAGACCCUGGGGGAUGGAGAGACCAUAGUGUGAAUGUAAAAUGCCCCCUCUGAGGCAGGCUUUGUGGUAAAGGAAGAGGGUCAGGGUUCACCUCCCAUGUGCUUUGCUCAGCUAGGAGGGAAAGCCCUUGCCCACUAUGUCCAUUCCUAGAGAGCCUGUCCUCCAGUAUGCAUCUGUAGCAGGAGCUAGGGCCACAGCCCUAGCCCCAGCCCCAGGGCAAAGCAAACCUGGUUGUGUCAGUCAUUUUGUCUUUUCUUCCCCAGCCCCUCUUCCCUGCCCCCUUUUUUUUUUUUUUUUUUUUUUUUUGACAGAUUGGCAGAGGGACGUAAAGUCCUGCAGCCACUCCCCUGUAUGUUUAAGUUCCUUCAUUAGCAGUUCAGGCUGCUUGGACAGGUUUGAAUCAAAUUGUACUUUGUUCCAUUGUAAUUAAGAAACUG